CUAGCCCUAAACCAUCAGGACUUGGGGUUUGCCCUGUACGGGGCAAGUCCCGUAGCUAACGCGUUAAGUCCUGCGCCUGGGGAGUACGGUCGCAAGACUGAAACUCAAAGGAAUUGACGGGGGCCCGCACAAGCGGUGGAACAUGUGGUUCAAUUCGACGCAACGCGAAGAACCUUACCUGGGCUUGAACCGCACAGGACCAUCUUUGGAAACAGAGACUUCCCGCAAGGGACCUGUGUAGAGGUGCUGCAUGGCUGUCGUCAGCUCGUGCCGUGAGGUGUUGGGUUAAGUCCCGCAACGAGCGCAACCCUUACUCUUAGUUGCCACCCGCAAGGGGGAACUCUAAGAGGACUGCUCCGGAUAACGGAGAGGAAGGUGGGG
This 381-nucleotide ribosomal RNA is filed under the name uncultured bacterium. RNAcentral's name for it is "bacterial SSU rRNA". It matches the Rfam family "Bacterial small subunit ribosomal RNA", at positions 796 to 1178 of the family's 1533-position model. The record is from RNAcentral.